GUUCAGGUGUUUGUCUUGUUGUUGUGUCCGUUGUCUGGGGUUUGCUGACGUCUCUUUGGAUUGGAGUAGCGUCUCCUGUUAGGUUUGGCAGCUAGUUCCCUCUGUGAAGUGCUGUUGUCAGAUCAGGUAGAAAUCUGUUUCCUGCUUCGUUGCCCUGACAACAGUGAUGUCACGGUCCUACCUGUUCCUCAAGUUAGUUCUGCUUUUACCGUCUUCAUGUCGCAGCUUCUUUUCUCCGUCUGAAUGUGGAGUCCUGACUGGUUCCAGGAAACAGAUCACCUGUCUGAGCGUCCAGGAGUGGACUGGAAACUUUCUUCUUCUUCUUCAGCGCUUUGAAUAAAGUCUAAGUUUGCUUUGUUUGCUGCUUUAACUUCAGUAAUGUUGCUGUUUGUUUCUGCUCUGUGAUGUUUCUACAUGUUCACUUCUUAUUUCAGCACAAACUUUGGAUGACUGCUGUUUAAACAUGGAUCAAUAUGAUUAUUAGGUUAUUGAUUGACUGCAAUCAGUCAAUAUUUCUAUGAGAUUAUUGAUGGACUUGAGUCAGUUUGAUGAGCUGCUGAUGUUUCUUUGUUUGUUCACAAUCCAAACUGCAUGGUGUCUUUUUGACUUUGGGUUUGUGGGUGAGUCUCUGCAGCUCCAUGACUCCAUCUGCUGGACUGAUAGUAGAAGUGCAGCAGCUGAUCUUUUCCAGGAGGAUUUGAGUGGAUCAAUGAUGUUUGUUUCCUGUGCAGGUGAAGGUAGAAAGUGUGUGUGAGCUGCUGUGAGUUGAGCAGCAUGGAUGAGUGUGAGGACACUGAUCCAUGCGUUUCUCUACCAUAAGACGUCUGCAAAGAGCUUUCAGAGAAUUUAUCUACCCUACUACACACAGAGUACAUGUAUAUAUCAGUUCUCUAACAUUCCUUCUCAUUCAGUGCUUUUUAUUUAUUUGUGUUAUUUUCUACGUUGUAGAUUAAUACUGAAUAUUAACACUUUUUUGUUUCCAACAUGGUUCCAUAUGUGUUCUUUUAUAGUUUGUAUGUCUUCAGUGUUAAUCUUCAAGGUCCAAACUGUUGGCUGCUAGUGGAUAUACAGAGUACAUGAAUAAUGAGAGUAUUUUCAUUACUUUUUAACAGAUACAUACAGUUUGUGUGUAUAUUUAUACUGCAGUAUAACAGUAUAAUAGUACAGUAUUUUG
Amphiprion ocellaris (clown anemonefish) is the source of this 1174-nucleotide long non-coding RNA. NCBI's taxonomy places the organism in Eukaryota, Metazoa, Chordata, Actinopteri, Pomacentridae. The record is from Ensembl.